AUUGAACGCUGGCGGCAGGCCUAACACGUGCAAGUCGAACGGUAGCACAGAGAGCUCGCUCUCGGGUGACGAGUGGCGGACGGGUGAGUAACGUCUGGGAAACUGCCCGAUGGAGGGGGAUAACUACUGGAAACGGUAGCUAAUACCGCAUAACGUCGCAAGACCAAAGUGGGGGACCUUCGGGCCUCACACCAUCGGAUGUGCCCAGAUGGGAUUAGCUAGUAGGUGGGGUAAUGGCUAAACUAGGCGACGAUCCCUAGCUGGUCUGAGAGGAUGACCGGCCACACUGGAACUGAGAAACGGUCCAGACUCCUACGGGAGGCAGCAGUGGGGAAUAUUGCACAAUGGGCGCAAGCCUGAUGCAGCCACGCCGCGUGUAUGAAGAAGGCCUUCGGGUUGUAAAGUACUUUCAGCGGGGAGGAAGGCGGUGAAGUUAAUAACUUCACCGAUUGACGUUACCCGCAGAAGAAGCACCGGCUAACUCCGUGCCAGCAGCCGCAGUAA
RNAcentral lists this ribosomal RNA (504 nucleotides) under uncultured bacterium. RNAcentral describes it as "partial 16S ribosomal RNA". It matches the Rfam family "Bacterial small subunit ribosomal RNA", at positions 29 to 523 of the family's 1533-position model. The record is from RNAcentral.